AGCUCCAAUAGCGUAUAUUAAAGUUGUUGCGGUUAAAAAGCUCGUAGUUGGAUUUUUGAGCUUCGACGAUUGGUCCGGUUUAUCCGCGUACUGAUGGUGAGGUUCUUCUGUCUGGAGAGGAUGUGUGUCGCUUGAUUGAGGCGCGCGUUCGAUCUAGGACUUUUACUUUGAACAAAUUAGAGUGUUUAAAGCAGGCCUACGCCUUGAAUACAUUAGCAUGGAAUAACGUAUAGGACUUUGGUUCUAUUUUGUUGGUUUUAAGGACCAAAGUAAUGAUUAAUAGGGACAGUUGGGGGCAUUAAUAUUUAAUUGUCAGAGGUGAAAUUCUUAGAUUUAUGAAAGAUUAACUUCUGCGAAAGCGUUUGCCAAGGAUGUUUUCAUUGAUCAAGAACGAAAGUAG
This 400-nucleotide ribosomal RNA is filed under the name phytoplankton environmental sample. Its description in RNAcentral is "partial small subunit ribosomal RNA". It matches the Rfam family "Eukaryotic small subunit ribosomal RNA", at positions 587 to 992 of the family's 1831-position model. The record is from RNAcentral.